This 407-nucleotide long non-coding RNA is filed under the name Pan troglodytes (chimpanzee). RNAcentral describes it as "lincRNA". The record is from RNAcentral. Lineage: Eukaryota; Metazoa; Chordata; Mammalia; Primates; Hominidae.
CUGCAAGAGAAAAGCCCAAGGGCCUAGGUAAACAAUGGACAGCAUCCUGGAUGAUGAUGCAAUUUUAAGCCUGAAAAGAAUAUUUGGUCUUCAAUCUUGGCAAGCAUACCUGUAAAGUAGAUGGUAAGGCUGCUGAUGAGAACCAUUUGAAAAAAAAUGAUCAAUGAGAAAAUUGCACCAGAGGACCCAUAUCGGGACUUUUGAGUUGAACACAUUACUUAGCAAAUGCUAACAUGGGAACUUGAGGAUAUUUAGUGAACCUGCUGAAGUUAACACAUUAAUGCAACUGAAACCAAUAGAGAAGAAGCUAUCUAUUAACCUUGGCAUUUUGGGGUCUAGAAAAAGCUUUUACCCACUAUUGUGCUUUGUAACCUAUAAAAUAAAUCAAAAUAAAUCAAAACAUAACA